GAGUCUAGGGAGGAGGUAGGGCAGGGAGAGUGGUGUGGAGUCUAGGGAGGAGGUAGGGCAGGGAGAGUGGUGUGGAGUCUAGGGAGGAGGUAGGGCAGGGAGAGUGGUGUGGAGUCUAGGGAGGAGGUAGGGCAGGGAGAGUGGUGUGGAGUCUAGGGAGGAGGUAGGGCAGGUAGAGUGGUGUGGAGUCUAGGGAGGAGGUAGGGCAGGGAGAGUGGUGUGGAGUCUAGGGAGGAGGUAGGGCAGGGAGAGUGGUGUGGAGUCUAGGGAGGAGGUAGGGCAGGUAGAGUGGUGUGGAGUCUAGGGAGGAGGUAGGGCAGGGAGAGUGGUGUGGAGUCUAGGGAGGAGGUAGGGCAGGUAGAGUGGUGUGGAGUCUAGGGAGGAGGUAGGGCAGGGAGAGUGGUGUGGAGUCUAGGGAGGAGGUAGGGCAGGGAGAGUGGUGUGGAGUCUAGGGAGGAGGUAGGGCAGGGAG
This is a long non-coding RNA of Oncorhynchus keta (chum salmon), 472 nucleotides long. RefSeq lists it as uncharacterized. The transcript is spliced from 3 exons. NCBI's taxonomy places the organism in Eukaryota, Metazoa, Chordata, Actinopteri, Salmoniformes, Salmonidae. The record is from RefSeq and is a predicted model, not a curated record.